CGGGUGAGUAACACGUGGGUGAUCUGCCCCUUACUUUGGGAUAAGCCUGGGAAACUGGGUCUAAUACUGGAUAGGACCAUGCUGUAGGUGGUGUGGUGGAAAGAUUAGUUUCGGUAAGGGAUGAGCUCGCGGCCUAUCAGCUUGUUGGUGGGGUAAUGGCCUACCAAGGCGUCGACGGGUAGCCGGCCUGAGAGGGUGGACGGCCACAUUGGGACUGAGAUAUGGCCCAGACUCCUACGGGAGGCAGCAGUGGGGAAUAUUGCACAAUGGGCGCAAGCCUGAUGCAGCGACGCCGCGUGGGGGAUGACGGCCUUCGGGUUGUAAACUCCUUUCAGCCAUGACGAAGCCUUCGGGUGACGGUAGUGGUAGAAGAAGCACCGGCUAACUACGUGCCAGCAGCCGCGGUAAUACGUAGGGUGCGAGCGUUGUCCGGAAUUACUGGGCGUAAAGAGCUCGUAGGUGGUCUGUCGCGUCAUUUGUGAAAGCCCGGGGCUUAACUCCGGGUUGGCAGGUGAUACGGGCAUGACUGGAGUACUGUAGGGGAGACUGGAAUUCCUGGUGUAGCGGUGAAAUGCGCAGAUAUCAGGAGGAACACCGGUGGCGAAGGCGGGUCUCUGGGCAGUAACUGACGCUGAGGAGCGAAAGCAUGGGUAGCGA
Molecule: ribosomal RNA, 657 nt
Filed under: uncultured Corynebacterium sp.
Lineage: Bacteria; Bacillati; Actinomycetota; Actinomycetes; Mycobacteriales; Corynebacteriaceae
Description: bacterial SSU rRNA
Rfam family: Bacterial small subunit ribosomal RNA
Source: RNAcentral